This 446-nucleotide ribosomal RNA is filed under the name uncultured bacterium. Its description in RNAcentral is "bacterial SSU rRNA". It matches the Rfam family "Bacterial small subunit ribosomal RNA", at positions 29 to 457 of the family's 1533-position model. The record is from RNAcentral.
AACGAACGUUAGCGGCGCGCUUAACACAUGCAAGUCGAGCGAGAAAGGGCUUCGGCCCCGGUAAAGCGGCGCACGGGUGAGUAACACGUAGGUAAUUUGCCCUCGGGUGGUGGAUAACUUUCCGAAAGGAAGGCUAAUACAGCAUGAGACCACGGUUCCGAAAGGGAUUGAGGUCAAAGCCGGCCAAUUCAUGAAAGCUGGUGCCUGAGGAUGAGCCUGCGGCCCAUCAGCUAGUUGGUAGGGUAAUGGCCUACCAAGGCGAAGACGGGUAGCUGGUCUGAGAGGAUGAUCAGCCACACUGGAACUGAGACACGGUCCAGACUCCUACGGGAGGCAGCAGUGGGGAAUCUUGCGCAAUGGGCGAAAGCCUGACGCAGCGACGCCGCGUGAGUGAUGAAGGCCCUUCGGGGUUGUAAAGGCUCUGUGGAGGGGGACGAAUAAGGGUU